RNAcentral lists this ribosomal RNA (490 nucleotides) under uncultured bacterium. RNAcentral's name for it is "partial 16S ribosomal RNA". It matches the Rfam family "Bacterial small subunit ribosomal RNA", at positions 29 to 507 of the family's 1533-position model. The record is from RNAcentral.
AGUGAACGCUGGCGGCAGGCCUAACACAUGCAAGUCGAACGGCAGCACAAGAGAGCUUGCUCUCUGGGUGGCGAGUGGCGGACGGGUGAGGAAUGCAUCGGAAUCUGCCCAUUUGUGGGGGAUAACCUCGGGAAACCGGGACUAAUACCGCAUACGACCUACGGGUGAAAGCAGGGGAUCUUCGGACCUUGCGCAGAUGGAUGAGCCGAUGCCGGAUUAGCUAGUUGGAGGGGUAAAGGCCCACCAAGGCGACGAUCCGUGGCUGGUCUGAGAGGAUGAUCAGCCACACUGGGACUGAGACACGGCCCAGACUCCUACGGGAGGCAGCAGUGGGGAAUAUUGGACAAUGGGCGCAAGCCUGAUCCAGCCAUGCCGCGUGUGUGAAGAAGGCCUUCGGGUUGUAAAGCACUUUUGUUGGGAAAGAAAAGCAGCCGGUUAAUACCCGGUUGUCAUGACGGUACCCAAAGAAUAAGCACCGGCUAACUUCGUG